AGUGAAUAAAAUGUACAAAAUGAGGCUCUACCACAUUCAAAGUUUUCAUUAAAUGGACCUUACAAGGACACACCCCAAAUUCCCACUACCAGAGUGACCUCCAUCUCUCUUCACAAGUAAGUAAGUUUAUGUUUUAUUUCUCAUUUUGCAAUAAAAAUUGGUAUUGGUUAACUAUUUAUGUAGCAUCUAUUUGGGCUAUAUCUAAAAUCUGAGGGCUAUUUCCCCCUCAGUGUGUGAAUAUCUGGUGCCCAACUAAUGGCCCCUCAAUAGAAGGACAGUUGUUAAAUCAUUUGACUAUAUUUAAAUUAAAAAAAAAAGUUUUUUACUCUAGAAAUCUCAUGUGGUCUUUAUUUCCAAAUGGGAGGCCCCCAUAUCUAACACCUUAGAUUAAAACUUGAACCUUCUUGGACAAUAAACUCCAUGAAAGCAGGGAUGCUUGUCUUGUCUUAAUAUUAUACCCCAGCAUCUUAGCAUGGUAGGAAAUAAUAGGUAGGAAAAAAAUCUAAAAUAAAUAAAUCUCCAAAUAAAAAUAAAUGUUGAACAAAUCCAGUAGAAAGUAAAACCCUUUUGUCUUUUUCACAAAGAAAUAAUUUCUUUGCUUUAUUUUCUCUUUAGACUCUUCAUUUAAGAAUCUUUUUGGAAUUAUAAAAAAAUUUAUACUGCAAAUACCCAUUUUUGUCUAUUACUUUCCCCUUCUCUUUCCUUGCACAACCUAAGGACAGCAGUGAAUCUGUAUAGUCUUGUGGAAAGUAAUGAUAUGUCCAAGAAACAGCAGAGGUAAAUAUGGACAAGAAGUGGGUGGAACUGGAAACGUACAAUUUCAGGAGAAUUUUCUUCAGAGUUUUUGAGCCGAUAUUCAUGAUUUACAAGAUUUGUUUUGGACACUCUAUACCCAGUCUGGAGCCCAAGGCAAGGCCCAAACCCAUGACUCUGAGGUCAAGACCCAAACCAAGAUCAGAGUCAGAUGCUUAGCCAACUGAGCCACACAGGCUCCCUGUAUGCUAUCUCUUAAUUAAAGAAGUUAUUUUAAUUAUUAUAGAGUGAUGGGAUCUGAUCAUUUCUAUGUAAACAUAUAUAGUAAGAAGCUGGACAGAUACAAUUCUUUUAAAAAUAUUAACCUCGGUUCUAAGGGCUUAAGAUGACUACUCAUUUCUCUCAUUAAAAAAUAGCUCUCCUAUGUUUAUACGUUACCCUGUAAUCAUGUUGCUGAAAAGCAUUCUAGAACUGCAUUUUCCAUCACUAUUCACUUAGUAUUCUUUUUCUUAUAUACUUGACAGCUACAUGCAUGCCUUCUUUAGCAGCAGCCAUUUUCAUUUUAUGAACCUUAAAUCUUGGAUGAUCUCAGCUGGUGCUUAAGCUUCUCAUUCCUAUACAGCUUAUUGGAAUUCUAGACUCUCUGGUGACUGACCUAUUGUGGACCUGUGGACAUGAAAUGGUU
RNAcentral lists this long non-coding RNA (1438 nucleotides) under Mustela putorius furo (domestic ferret). Its description in RNAcentral is "lncRNA (ENSMPUG00000026800.1)". Lineage: Eukaryota; Metazoa; Chordata; Mammalia; Carnivora; Mustelidae. The record is from RNAcentral.